UACGAAGGGUGCAAGCGUUACUCGGAAUUACUGGGCGUAAAGCGUGCGUAGGUGGUUUGUUAAGUCUGUUGUGAAAGCCCCGGGCUCAACCUGGGAAUGGCAAUGGAUACUGGCAGGCUAGAGUGCGGUAGAGGGUAGUGGAAUUCCCGGUGUAGCGGUGAAAUGCGUAGAGAUCGGGGAGGAACACCAGUGGCGAAGGCGGCUACCUGGACCAGCACUGACACUGAGGCACGAAAGCGUGGGGGAGCAAACAGG
Molecule: ribosomal RNA, 255 nt
Filed under: uncultured bacterium
Lineage: Bacteria
Description: partial 16S ribosomal RNA
Rfam family: Bacterial small subunit ribosomal RNA
Source: RNAcentral